AUACUUUUCUCCACCUUUUGGCUAAGAUCAAGUGCAUAUCUGUUCUUAGCAGUUUUAUAUUUGAUAUGUGGGCCAUUGGCUCAAAUGAAAUUUAAUUUAAUUUUUUGAAGCAGAUGGUUCACCACAGUAGCUUGUCAUAACAAUUUGAAAUGGAAGUUGAGAGUUCCAAAAUUUCUCUGGAUUAUAUAAUUGUU
Molecule: non-coding RNA, 194 nt
Organism: Glycine soja
Lineage: Eukaryota; Viridiplantae; Streptophyta; Magnoliopsida; Fabales; Fabaceae
Source: Rfam